CAGUCGCCGCGGUAACACAGAGGAUGCAAGCGUUAUCCGGAAUGAUUGGGCGUAAAGCGCGCGCAGGUGGUUCAAUAAGUCUGAUGCGAAAGCCCACGGCUCAACCGUGGAGGGUCAUUGGAAACUGUUAAACUUGAGUGCAGGAGAGAAAAGUGGAAUUCCUAGUGUAGCGGUGAAAUGCGUAGAGAUUAGGAGGAACACCAGUGGCGAAGGCGGCUUUUUGGCCUGUAACUGACACUGAGGCGCGAAAGCGUGGGGAGCAAACAGGAUUAGAUACCCGUGUAGUCCCUGUCUCUUAUAC
This 301-nucleotide ribosomal RNA is filed under the name uncultured bacterium. RNAcentral's name for it is "partial 16S ribosomal RNA". It matches the Rfam family "Bacterial small subunit ribosomal RNA", at positions 509 to 807 of the family's 1533-position model. The record is from RNAcentral.